Molecule: non-coding RNA, 3149 nt
Organism: Cyanistes caeruleus (blue tit)
Lineage: Eukaryota; Metazoa; Chordata; Aves; Passeriformes; Paridae
Source: RefSeq, a predicted model, not a curated record
UUGGAUUAAAAAGUGUUGCUGGACUUGGUUGAUUAAAAAUAACUGAAGUCAGAGAGAAUUGUGGGAACCUCUGAGGCACAGGGGAUCUGAAGGGGGCAGGACAAAGGUUUUGUUUCAGAAAUACAGAAGCUGCUUCUGACCUAAUUGAUCUAAACUGCUUUUCUUCAGGAAACACUACAAAAUAUCUUCUUUUCAAGGCAAAUGAAUUUGGAGACUGGUGAGAGAGAGAAAGGGUGGCUGUGGUAGAGGAAAUAUUUUUAUCCAGGCCUCAGGAAACGGUGGUCUGGCUGCAGUGGUGUGGAUGGUUACAUGAAGAGAAUUCGAGCAGGGCAAAGCCUGCCGUCACUUAAUGUCUGCCCCCAAACUCCUGGACUGCGAGAACUAAUGUCAAUAUCCACCUGGAAAUAACCAGCGAGGAAACUGCUACCCUAAAACAACCCUUCAAGCUCAAGUGAGAGAGAGAAGAUAGACUUAUUUGGGCUAGCAUUUUCAUUAGGACACGGUGUUUUCCUUGAUUGAGUUGCUUUUGGGCACUUGUAUAUCUGAGGCUACCCAGACUGUAGUAAUUUUCCAGCUGAUCCUAUUCUGACUGGAGGAGUGAAAUGUAUCGCCCCAUGGAAGAGGAAACAAACAGGAAGGCAUAGGAAGAGGGACAGCACUUGAAGCCCUUCCAUUUUCAGAAAAAAGAAUCGGACUUUGAGAUAUGAAGAAACUGGGGUGAAGGGCCCCUCUCCCCUCAUAGAGGAUAUGGGGAGAUGGGAUGUGACAUUUUUCUGUGCUUAGGACUGUGUUCACAUGAACACAGUGAGAGGCCUGUUGAUAAAAAGAAGCAAUAUUGUUGGGAUGCCUAGGAUUUCAAAAUAUUACUUCAUAAUAAGCACAAAACACAUCUUAAAGCACAUAUUAUGGGUCCAGAAGAACACAUCUUUCAGUGUUCUUUACUUUGAGAAGUAUUUAAACUACUCUGGCAGAUGAAGGCCACUCAGUGUACCAUGAGCACGCAGAAUCUCGCCCUUCAUUGGCUUCAUGUCCAUUUUAUGGACCAGCGAGUCUAUUAAGAUCUUGAUUUGGAUUUGGCUUGCUUGAUGCUGGACGAUUAAUGAAGGAAGCCCUAACUGGACAAAUGUUGGUCUCCUGAGACAAUGUGUUGUUGAUAACAGAAGGUUAAGGAAUGAGAGCCUAAUGGCCAGCUCCCUGCAGGUCCAGGUACGGCACUGUACAUUGUUUAAGGCCACGUUUUGCAGAAGUGACUGUGUUUUCUUGUGUUUGUUGUCUUUUGUAUUCUCUGGAGAUAAAGGUAGAAAUCUCAGAGGGGGAAGAAAAAUGGAUGGACAUGGAAAGUCACGAACACAAGGUCAUCCGUGCUCCAGCUCCAGCAAUUAUGUGUAAUCAUAGUUCUUUUCAACAAAGUGGCUCCUAGGCAGUUUGGGACCUGGGAGCCAGUCCUCUGGCUGAUGCUAACAAUGUUUGAUUCAAAUAAAUCCAUAACCCCGUUAGUAUCUCUUGCAGCAUUAUCAUAGUCACAUCAGCGAUGCUGUAAACUAAUGUUUUACCUAACAGCCUAAAUAGUGGCUUAGGCAGUGUUUCAUGUAUGUGAAGAUACCCCGGGUUUGUCUCAAGACACAGAACAGUCAGCCUUGUCACUGCCACCUUGCAGAGAUCCCCACCUUAGACACAAUGCACUGAAUCAGAGUGUUCCCUCUCUGCCCGGGGCAUGUCAUUCUUUAGGAAACAUUUCAAGAUUUAUUAGUCUGGAGAAAACAAGAAACAGACCAUCAUUUACUUAUUUUCCUGCUCUGCAGGUACAGAGCAGUCACCUACAAUGAGCUCAUCCCAAAAGCCACAGUGUCUUUUUGUUUAUCAGUUUCAGCCAGAUUAAUGUUAAGAUGGUCUGGGUGCAAACAGUUGGUUUUGUGCACCUAUGGAUCGAUAACUUCUGCAUGUUUUUCAAUGUAGAAAAGGCAGUAAUAAAGUAAAAACAUGUAGUCCUGUGAGGUGAUUGCUUCCCAAAGUUGUUUCUCUGUUCAACCCUGCAGUAAUUCUCCAGCAAAGCAAUGCAGAGAGUUACACCCCUGAGGAACAGGAGUACUCUUCCUUUUCUCUGUAUCAAUGUUAUUAGUAAAAGGCACAGCAAGGAAGUCUGUUUCUCAAUAUUGUACCUACUUGAGGCUCCUGAAGGUAUGAUUAAUUGGGAGUGAUUAAUUAAACCAUGAGUCAUGACCUCCUUUUUUUCCUGUCACAUUACUUAUGAACAAGAGGGAAGUCAGUGUAGUUAAAUGGUAUGAGAUAGUAAAUUUAGAGGAAAUAAAAAGAAAUUUGUUGUGUUGCCUGUGGUCAACCUGUGGGAUUUCCUGCUACAGGUGACCAUCUGAUAAAUAGGGUUCCUUGAUUGAAAAGAAUAGUUGUUAAUGUUAUUACCAUAACUGGUGGAACCAUCUCUUUAUUUCUGGGACUUCUGGGUGCACUGGGAAGACAGAAAUGAGUCCUGCUUGGCUAAUAAAGUGAGAGCAAAUGCACCAUGUAUUGGGAAGUCAGGCAGCAGUGCUGUUCUCCAUGGACAACAGCACUACACUAUUAGCUUGAUCUAUGAGUUGCCAUUUCAUGGUUUGGUUGGUUGUUUAUUUGUCUGUCUUUUUAAUUCCUCUGGAAAAUACUGUACUGGCUCUCUCUGUUGACUGAAUGACCAGGCUUGGGCAGAAGACAUAGCAUUCUUCUUCUCUGACCUUUAUAUCAAAAUUGAUUAACAAUAAUUCUUUUGCAGAAAAAGAUUGACAAUAAGAUGUGGAUGUUCAUCUUUAAUGAACUCUAGUCACCAAGUGGAAACCAGCUAGCUUUGAUGGUGUAAUAGAACACCUUCUCAGCAAUAGCUGAAUAACUUGCUCCUCAAAAUGAGCAAGCCUGUUAACUGCGAAUGUGAAGAGAUGAAGCAAGCAAAAAAGAAAAAGUGUGAAGAGCUUUGCUGCCAUGUCAUCACUGUAUCAGAUAAUUUUAGGAUCAAUGAGUGAAUAGGCAUGUAAGAGAGACUGUUUUUCUACAGAGAAGGGCUAUUUCAAAGAAAGGGGGGGAAAUUAAAAGGCACAUCAGUACAUUGUUAUUAUAUGAUGAUGAUAUUAGAGAAAGAACUUCAUUUGUCUUCUUUUAAUUUUGGA